Non-coding RNA from Paramuricea clavata, 425 nucleotides. The record is from the annotation of a GenBank genome assembly. Lineage: Eukaryota; Metazoa; Cnidaria; Anthozoa; Malacalcyonacea; Plexauridae.
GCGAGAUUCACAUUCUUAAUUAAAUUUUCCAUAUUUUGAAAAGCAUCAAUAAAAUUUUGUUCUGUCCAUUCUGCAAAGUUGCAAUGUGCCCACUCAUUUCUGAUGUUUGACCGAACUUUUCUUGCAUAAGCAGCAGCUCUUGCAAAUGGUGCAGCUUCACCUAUUACUGAUAAAACUGCAGAUGUAUCCAUUGUUACGUCAAAGCCUGUGAACUUGGACAUGAAUGGUUGAACAAACAACUUUGCCAAAGACAAUGGAUCCUUAACUGCAUAAUCAAAUGCACGAGGUGAUCCAAUGGCAUCAUUGUUGUUGAUACUUUUAUAGUUGAGGUUCAAAGUUGACGGGGGUAACUUUUUCUGGUGUCCACCAAAAACUUGUUUGUCGAUUUCGGUCGGUGAUUGACAUAAAACUUGAUGCCACUUUGG